AGUGAACGCUGGCGGUAGGCCUAACACAUGCAGGUCGAACGGCAGCACAGGAGAGCUUGCUCUCUGGGUGGCGAGUGGCGGACGGGUGAGGAAUACAUCGGAAUCUGCCCAGUCGUGGGGGAUAACGUAGGGAAACUUACGCUAAUACCGCAUACGACCUUCGGGUGAAAGAGGGGGAUCGCAAGACCUCUCGCGAUUGGAUUAGCCGAUGUCGGAUUAGCUAGUUGGCGGGGUAAUGGCCCACCAAGGCGACGAUCCGUAGCUGGUCUGAGAGGAUGAUCAGCCACACUGGAACGGGGCCACGGUCCAGACCCCUACGGGAGGCAGCAGUGGGGAAUAUUGGACAAUGGGCGCAAGCCUGAUCCAGCCAUACCGCGUGGGUGAAGAAGGCCUUCGGGUUGUAAAGCCCUUUUGUUGGGAAAGAAAUCGUUCAGGCUAAUACCCUGGGAGGAUGACGGUACCCAAAGAAUAAGCACCGGCUAACUUCGUG
Molecule: ribosomal RNA, 490 nt
Filed under: uncultured bacterium
Lineage: Bacteria
Description: partial 16S ribosomal RNA
Rfam family: Bacterial small subunit ribosomal RNA
Source: RNAcentral